Molecule: long non-coding RNA, 651 nt
Filed under: Lonchura striata (white-rumped munia)
Lineage: Eukaryota; Metazoa; Chordata; Aves; Passeriformes; Estrildidae
Description: domestica (Bengalese finch) lncRNA (ENSLSDG00000012141.1)
Source: RNAcentral
GUAACUAUCAAUACACAUACAAUACAGAAACAUCUCAAAGUACCUUAUUUAUUUUUGUUUUACUAACAGGCUGACAUUCCUAAACAGAUGGCUGAAGAACAAACCCGGGCUCCAGGCUUUAGUGCUGAGUUUUACUGUAUGGACCCUGGGAUGUUUCUGAGAUGGUUUCUUUGAGAAAUGAGGGAAGUCCCAGGGGUGGCUCUGCUGUGAGCAAUUCUGCUGGCUGUCCUCCUUCCUGUGCAGCCACACCCAUGCAGCCAAAGGAUCAGCCAGGAGUAUUUGUCAGAGAGCUUCAGUUUUCUGCUUAUGUAUCUCCAUGGUGUCCUGAGGACUUCUUAAAAGAACAAGAUCUGACUAACUUGUCCAGAGUCAUACAAGAAACUGGCGGCAGCACAGAGGAUUGAUGAUUUGUUGGCACAGCAGGCCAAAAACCCACUUGGGCAAGGUUCAAACAAACAUCCAGGCCAGCAGCUUCAAGUGCUCUCAUUCACAAGCGAUCAGUCAGAAAUCUCUCUGCUGAGUUUGGUGGCACCAACAUCAAAGGUACAGCACUUUUCAUUGCAUGACCACACUGACGUCACCACUGCAAAGCCUGAUGGAGGAUGGAAUGAGCAGAUCCUGCCAGUUUUCACUGCCUGGAUUUGGCAGCAC